This 1090-nucleotide ribosomal RNA is filed under the name uncultured Mycoplasma sp. RNAcentral describes it as "bacterial SSU rRNA". It matches the Rfam family "Bacterial small subunit ribosomal RNA", at positions 195 to 1298 of the family's 1533-position model. The record is from RNAcentral. Lineage: Bacteria; Bacillati; Mycoplasmatota; Mollicutes; Mycoplasmatales; Mycoplasmataceae.
AUAGGUUUAUAGAAUAAAUUAAACCUCGCGCAUAAACAGGGAUAUGUCCUAUUAGGUAGUUGGUGGGGUAAAUGCCCACCAAGCCUUUGAUGGGUAGCUGGACUGAGAGGUUGACCAGCCGCAAUGGGAUUGAGAUAUGGCCCAUAUUCCUACGGGAAGCAGCAGUGAGGAAUUUUUCACAAUGGACGAAAGUCUGAUGGAGCAAUACCACGUGAACGAUGAAGGUCUUCUGAUUGUAAAGUUCUUUUACUUAGGAAAAAAAGCUUGACAGGAAAUGGUUAAGCCUUGAUCGUACUAGGUGAAUAAGUGACAGCUAACUAUGUGCCAGCAGCUGCGGUAACACAUAGGUCACAAGCAUUAUCCGGAUUUAUUGGGCGUAAAGGAAGCGUAGGCGGACAGUCUGAUCCAUUGUUAAAUGCACUUGCUCAACAAGUGUAUGCAGUGGAGAUCUCCUGUCUAGAAUUAAUUAGGAGAAACUGGAAUUCAAUGUGUAGUGGUGGAAUACGUAGAUAUAUUGAGGAACACCAAAGGCGAAAGCAAGUUUCUAGGAUAUAAUUGACGCUGAGGCUUGAAAGCGUGGGGAGCAAAUGGGAUUAGAUACCCCAGUAGUCCACGCCGUAAACGAUGGGUAUUUGGUAUUUGGGCUGGACCUGAGUGCCGGAGCUAACGCGUUAAAUGCCCCGCCUGGGUAGUAUAUAUGCAAAUAUGAAACUCAAAGAAAUUGACGGGGAUCUGAACAAGUGGUGGAGCAUGUUGCUUAAUUCGAUAAUACACGAAAAACCUUACCAAGGCUUGUAAUCUUCUGCAAAAGUGUAGAAAUACAGUGGAGUAUAUCAGAAUGACAGGUGGUGCAUGGCUGUCGUCAGCUCGUGUCUUGAGAUGUUUGGUUAAGUCCCGUAACGAGCGCAACCCCCUCUCAUUAGUUAAUUAGUUCUAAUGUGACUGAAUCGUAAGAUAUAGGAAGGAUGGGGCCAAGUCAAGUCAUCAUGCCCCUUAUGCCUUGGGCUGCAAACGUGCUACAAUGGUAGGUACAAUGUGUUGCAACUUAGCGAUAAUGAGCUAAUCACCGAAAACCUAUCUCAGUCCGGAU